CAGUAGCCACGGGAAUACGGAGGGUGCAAGCGUUAAUCGGAAUUACUGGGCGUAAAGCGCACGCAGGCGGUCUGACAAGUCAGAUGUGAAAUCCCCGGGCUUAACCUGGGAACUGCAUUUGAAACUGUCAGGCUGGAGUCUUGUAGAGGGGGGUGGAAUUCCAGGUGUAGCGGUGAAAUGCGUAGAGAUCUGGAGGAAUACCGGUGGCGAAGGCGGCCCCCUGGACAAAGACUGACGCUCAGGUGCGAAAGCGUGGGGAGCAAACAGGAUUAGAUACCCGUGUAGUCCCUGUCUCUUAUAA
RNAcentral lists this ribosomal RNA (301 nucleotides) under uncultured bacterium. Its description in RNAcentral is "partial 16S ribosomal RNA". It matches the Rfam family "Bacterial small subunit ribosomal RNA", at positions 509 to 809 of the family's 1533-position model. The record is from RNAcentral.